This 253-nucleotide ribosomal RNA is filed under the name uncultured bacterium. RNAcentral's name for it is "partial 16S ribosomal RNA". It matches the Rfam family "Bacterial small subunit ribosomal RNA", at positions 524 to 776 of the family's 1533-position model. The record is from RNAcentral.
GACGAACCGUGCGAACGUUGUUCGGAAUCACUGGGCUUAAAGGGCGCGUAGGCGGGCUGCCAAGUCCGGGGUGAAAUCCUCCCGCUCAACGGGAGAACGGCCCCGGGUACUGGCGGCCUCGAGGCGGGUAGGGGCGUGCGGAACACUGGGUGGAGCGGUGAAAUGCGUUGAUAUCCAGUGGAACUCCGGUGGCGAAGGCGGCACGCUGGACCCGAUCUGACGCUGAGGCGCGAAAGCCAGGGGAGCGAACGGG